This 1216-nucleotide ribosomal RNA is filed under the name Heyndrickxia coagulans. Its description in RNAcentral is "bacterial SSU rRNA". It matches the Rfam family "Bacterial small subunit ribosomal RNA", at positions 37 to 1216 of the family's 1533-position model. The record is from RNAcentral. Lineage: Bacteria; Bacillati; Bacillota; Bacilli; Caryophanales; Bacillaceae.
GGGCAGGGGGCGCUAUCUGCAGUCGUGCGGACCUUUUAAAGCUUGCUUUUAAAAGGUUAGCGGCGGACGGGUGAGUAACACGUGGGCAACCUGCCUGUAAGAUCGGGAUAACGCCGGGAAACCGGGGCUAAUACCGGAUAGUUUUUUCCUCCGCAUGGAGGAAAAAGGAAAGACGGCUUCUGCUGUCACUUACAGAUGGGCCCGCGGCGCAUUAGCUAGUUGGUGGGGUAACGGCUCACCAAGGCAACGAUGCGUAGCCGACCUGAGAGGGUGAUCGGCCACAUUGGGACUGAGACACGGCCCAAACUCCUACGGGAGGCAGCAGUAGGGAAUCUUCCGCAAUGGACGAAAGUCUGACGGAGCAACGCCGCGUGAGUGAAGAAGGCCUUCGGGUCGUAAAACUCUGUUGCCGGGGAAGAACAAGUGCCGUUCGAACAGGGCGGCGCCUUGACGGUACCCGGCCAGAAAGCCACGGCUAACUACGUGCCAGCAGCCGCGGUAAUACGUAGGUGGCAAGCGUUGUCCGGAAUUAUUGGGCGUAAAGCGCGCGCAGGCGGCUUCUUAAGUCUGAUGUGAAAUCUUGCGGCUCAACCGCAAGCGGUCAUUGGAAACUGGGAGGCUUGAGUGCAGAAGAGGAGAGUGGAAUUCCACGUGUAGCGGUGAAAUGCGUAGAGAUGUGGAGGAACACCAGUGGCGAAGGCGGCUCUCUGGUCUGUAACUGACGCUGAGGCGCGAAAGCGUGGGGAGCAAACAGGAUUAGAUACCCUGGUAGUCCACGCCGUAAACGAUGAGUGCUAAGUGUUAGAGGGUUUCCGCCCUUUAGUGCUGCAGCUAACGCAUUAAGCACUCCGCCUGGGGAGUACGGCCGCAAGGCUGAAACUCAAAGGAAUUGACGGGGGGCCCGCACAAGCGGUGGAGCAUGUGGUUUAAUUCGAAGCAACGCGAAGAAACCUUACCAGGUCUUGACAUCCUCUGACCUCCCCUGGAGACAGGGCCUUUCCCCUUCGGGGGACAGAGUGACAGGUGGUGCAUGGUUGUCGUCAGCUCGUGUCGUGAGAUGUUGGGGUUUAAGUCCCGCAACGAGCGCACCCUUGACCCUUAGUUGUCAGCAUUCAGGUUGGGGCACCUCUCGUUGACUGGCCGGUGAACGAACGGCAGGAAGGUGGGAUGAACGAUCGAAUUCAUUCAAUGCCCCCCGUUAUUGAACCCUGGGGGG